This 381-nucleotide ribosomal RNA is filed under the name Sciadocera rufomaculata. RNAcentral describes it as "partial 12S ribosomal RNA". Lineage: Eukaryota; Metazoa; Arthropoda; Insecta; Diptera; Sciadoceridae. The record is from RNAcentral.
CUAAAGUAUUAAUAGUUAUAUUCUUUAAACUUAAAAAAUUUGGCGGUAUUUUAGUCUAUUCAGAGGAACCUGUUUUAUAAUCGAUAAUCCACGAUGUACCUCACUUAUAUUUAUUAAUUAGUUUGUAUACCGUCGUUAUAGAAUAUUUUAUAAGAAAAAUAAUUUUCAAUAAAUUUAAUAAAAUUAUAUAUCAGAUCAAGGUGCAGCUUAUGUAUAAGNNNNNNAUGGGUUACAAUAAAAUUAUUUAAAUGGAUAUAAAUAUGAAAAAUUUAUUUAAAGUGGAUUUGAAAGUAAAAUUAUAAAGAUUAAUAAUUUGAUUAUAGCUCUAAAAUAUGUACAUAUCGCCCGUCACUCUUAUUAUUAAAGUAAGAUAAGUCGUAA